Molecule: ribosomal RNA, 236 nt
Filed under: uncultured bacterium
Lineage: Bacteria
Description: partial 16S ribosomal RNA
Rfam family: Bacterial small subunit ribosomal RNA
Source: RNAcentral
GGCGGACGGGUGAGUAAUGCGUAGGAAUUUACCUCAAAGCGGGGGAUAGCCCGGAGAAAUCCGGAUUAAUACCGCAUGUGCUCUACGGAGGAAAGCGGGCCUCUUCUUGAAAGCUCGCACUUUGAGAUAAGCCUACGUCGGAUUAGCUUGUUGGUAGGGUAAAAGCCUACCAAGGCAACGAUCCGUAGCUGGUUUGAGAGGAUGAUCAGCCACACUGGGACUGAGACACGGCCCAG